Molecule: ribosomal RNA, 465 nt
Filed under: Vreelandella stevensii
Lineage: Bacteria; Pseudomonadati; Pseudomonadota; Gammaproteobacteria; Oceanospirillales; Halomonadaceae
Description: partial 16S ribosomal RNA
Rfam family: Bacterial small subunit ribosomal RNA
Source: RNAcentral
CCUACGGGUGGCUGCAGUGGGGAAUAUUGGACAAUGGGGGCAACCCUGAUCCAGCCAUGCCGCGUGUGUGAAGAAGGCCCUCGGGUUGUAAAGCACUUUCAGUGAGGAAGAACGCCUGGUGGUUAAUACCCAUCAGGAAAGACAUCACUCACAGAAGAAGCACCGGCUAACUCCGUGCCAGCAGCCGCGGUAAUACGGAGGGUGCGAGCGUUAAUCGGAAUUACUGGGCGUAAAGCGCGCGUAGGUGGCUUGAUAAGCCGGUUGUGAAAGCCCCGGGCUCAACCUGGGAACGGCCUCCGGAACUGUCAAGCUAGAGCGCAGAAGAGGAAGGUAGAAUUCCCGGUGUAGCGGUGAAAUGCGUAGAGAUCGGGAGGAAUACCAGUGGCGAAGGCGGCCUUCUGGACUGACACUGACACUGAGGUGCGAAAGCGUGGGUAGCAAACAGGAUUAGAUACCCUAGUAGUC